ACCGUGAUAGCUCAGUGGUAGAGCAUCGAACGCAUAAUUUGAAGGUCGUAGGUUCGAUUCCUGUUCACGGCA
This 72-nucleotide transfer RNA is filed under the name Rhipicephalus microplus (southern cattle tick). Its description in RNAcentral is "tRNA-Met". It matches the Rfam family "tRNA". Rfam says of the family: Transfer RNA (tRNA) molecules are approximately 80 nucleotides in length. Their secondary structure includes four short double-helical elements and three loops (D, anti-codon, and T loops). Further hydrogen bonds mediate the characteristic L-shaped molecular structure. tRNAs have two regions of fundamental functional importance: the anti-codon, which is responsible for specific mRNA codon recognition, and the 3' end, to which the tRNAs corresponding amino acid is attached (by aminoacyl-tRNA synthetases). tRNAs cope with the degeneracy of the genetic code in two manners: having more than one tRNA (with a specific anti-codon) for a particular amino acid; and 'wobble' base-pairing, i.e. permitting non-standard base-pairing at the 3rd anti-codon position. The record is from Rfam by way of RNAcentral. Lineage: Eukaryota; Metazoa; Arthropoda; Arachnida; Ixodida; Ixodidae.